CCUACGGGUGGCAGCAGUGAGGAAUAUUGGUCAAUGGACGAGAGUCUGAACCAGCCAAGUAGCGUGAAGGAUGACUGCCCUAUGGGUUGUAAACUUCUUUUAUAUGGGAAUAAAAUGUUCCACGUGUGGGAUUUUGUAUGUACCAUAUGAAUAAGGAUCGGCUAACUCCGUGCCAGCAGCCGCGGUAAUACGGAGGAUCCGAGCGUUAUACGGAUUUAUUGGGUUUAAAGGGAGCGUAGGUGGAUUGUUAAGUCAGUUGUGAAAGUUUGCGGCUCAACCGUAAAAUUGCAGUUGAAAAUGGCAGUCUUGAGUACAGUAGAGGUGGGCGGAAUUCGUGGUGUAGCGGUGAAAUGCUUAGAUAUCACGAAGAACUCCGAUUGCGAAGGCAGUUCACUGGACUGCAACUGACACUGAGGCUCGAAAGUGUUGGUAUCAAACAGGUUUAGAUACCCGUGUAGUC
Molecule: ribosomal RNA, 460 nt
Filed under: uncultured bacterium
Lineage: Bacteria
Description: partial 16S ribosomal RNA
Rfam family: Bacterial small subunit ribosomal RNA
Source: RNAcentral